RNAcentral lists this long non-coding RNA (351 nucleotides) under Lonchura striata (white-rumped munia). RNAcentral describes it as "domestica (Bengalese finch) lncRNA (ENSLSDG00000008595.1)". The record is from RNAcentral. Lineage: Eukaryota; Metazoa; Chordata; Aves; Passeriformes; Estrildidae.
CCCAGAAGCGGCUGCUGAGCGCCCGCGCCCCGGCCGGCAAGAGGCCGUGCCCGGAGCCCCAGAGCGGCCCCAGAGCCCCUCCCGGCUCCCCGCCCGGGCCCAGCUCGGCUGCCCGCGGCCAGGACGGGCUGCGGGAUGCGGACAGCGACGUCAGCGACGGGGGAGACUCGGCUCCGGAUGGAUACUCCCACCUGUCAGCCUAUGAAAGGAAAAGGCUAAAGAACAUCACAGAAAAUGCUAAAUUCUUUGCUGCUCUAAAGCUGCAUGAGUCAGCUGCAAGGCUUAACCAGCUUACCACUAAAAGGCAAUCUCAUGUCACUAAAAGGGCCAAGCCUAAAAAGGUGGAGGAUG